Microcebus murinus (gray mouse lemur) is the source of this 1397-nucleotide non-coding RNA. Lineage: Eukaryota; Metazoa; Chordata; Mammalia; Primates; Cheirogaleidae. The record is from RefSeq and is a predicted model, not a curated record.
AAUUAUUUUUCAAAAGUGAAGGAGAAAUAAAGACUUUCUCAGACAAACAAAAAAACGAGGGACUGUGUUGCCAAUAGAAGCUCUACAUAAAAAAGGGAAGAGUAAACUAGAAGGAAUAAGUGAAGUGGCCCCAAAGUACAGGAGUAGUGAUGCCAGCAAUUUGGAUAUGCCAAAGAGAAGCCAUAAAGCACUUCAAGGCAAAAGGUGAAAGUUCUCAACUUAGUGAGAGAAGAAAAAAACCCACAUGCUGAUGCUGCUAAACUCUAUGAUUUCUUUGCAAGCCAUCUCUGUGCAGAAGUGGCCUUCACUCAGGAGAAAGUACUGCAUGGAACUGAUGUUCCUCAGUUUCUGAGCUAAUGUUCUGAUGUACUCUAAGUCUUGCUGCUACUGGACACAUAAGGGAAAUUUUUUAAAAGUGUAAAUCUGCAAGCACAGGGAGAACUGGAGAGAGACUACAGCAGACAAUGAAUGUUAAAUUCAUGAAGACAGAAAAUAGAUGGUGAAGUGGAAACUGGCUUAGAAGAGCAGAGAAACCUGAAAUCAAAGUGCCUAAUACCAAACUGAAGUAACUGAUUCUCUCCGAAGUGCCAGGAAAGGGCUCAGGUAUUGGAAGUACUGAAAAGGGCAGAGACGCAGAGUGAAAGUGACAACAGGAAAACCGCUUGAAAAGAGCCUUGGAGCCCUACCCUGAGAAGCCACCUAACUACUCUUAUCUCACCCUUAGGGAGAGGGGAGGUUUAUUCUCUGUGGUAAUUGAACCAGUGGGACCCCAGAUUUGAGGACUCCAGACACACAGAGGGAAAGAAUGAGGCACCAGCAUAAAAAAUAAGGGACUAAUUAGAAUUAGGCAUGAUGAACCUCCCAUCUCCACUCCUAUAACCCCUUCCAGGUCCCAGAACACAAGGAGUGAUUCUUAUUCUUCCCAAUCAAGACAACAGAGGAGCCUUCUAUGGAGACCCAGACAGGUGCCCCAACACAAAAGCUAUCUUAGUGCCCCACUGCCCUACAGAGAUGCCCACCUGUCCACCAAUUGCUUCAUCACACAAGAGCUUCCAAUCUGCUUUCCAGUGCCUUACUCUUAAAUAUGUCUGAAUGGAGAACCAAGCCUCACCAGACAUUUCAGGAAAGCCACAGACAAAAACGAAAGGUACAAACAAAAACACAAGAAAAAGAACUUGGGAGGCAGGCGAAGAAUGCAAGCAAUAGAAAAAAACUUGUUUUUUAAUUCUGAUCAAUAUCUUCCGAGAGACAAGAGAAGACUAACCCAGAUUUUUCCUUCCACAAAAGACUGGAUUUGAGAUACCUUAGAUAUCAUUCCAAGUUUUGCCACAAUCUGCUACUAUUUCUGCUUUGUUGGGAUUGAACAACAUGCCCAUACAAUCUUUAUUUUUAUAGAG